RNAcentral lists this ribosomal RNA (463 nucleotides) under uncultured bacterium. RNAcentral describes it as "bacterial SSU rRNA". It matches the Rfam family "Bacterial small subunit ribosomal RNA", at positions 28 to 507 of the family's 1533-position model. The record is from RNAcentral.
GAUGAACGCUGGCGGCGUGCUUAACACAUGCAAGUCGAGCGGACUUUACCUUCGGGUAAAGUUAGCGGCGGACGGGUGAGUAACGUGUGGGUAACCUGCCUUGUACAGAGGGAUAAUCAUGUGAAAACGUGACUAAUACCGCAUGUCAUCAUUUAGCUGCAUGGCUGAAUGAGAAAAGGAGCAAUCCGGUACAAGAUGGACCCGCAUCUGAUUAGCUAGUUGGUGAGAUAACAGCCCACCAAGGCAACGAUCAGUAGCCGACCUGAGAGGGUGAUCGGCCACAUUGGGACUGAGACACGGCCCAAACUCCUACGGGAGGCAGCAGUGGGGAAUAUUGCACAAUGGGCGAAAGCCUGAUGCAGCAACGCCGCGUGAAGGAAGAAGGGUUUCGGCUCGUAAACUUCUAUCAAUAGGGAAGAAAGAAAUGACGGUACCUAAAUAAGAAGCCCCGGCUAACUACGUG